Anguilla anguilla (European eel) is the source of this 393-nucleotide long non-coding RNA. RefSeq lists it as uncharacterized. NCBI's taxonomy places the organism in Eukaryota, Metazoa, Chordata, Actinopteri, Anguilliformes, Anguillidae. The record is from RefSeq and is a predicted model, not a curated record. The transcript has 3 exons.
CAUUGGAAGCGCUUUCCACUGACCAGCAUUGAGAUAAAUGUCCUGAGAUUUGGCACCAAUUUGGUAACUUCUGUUUGAAAGUAUGCUGGCAUGUGAGCCCAGGGUGGUUCCAAGCAAACGCAUGUCCUGAGAUGACGCCUAUAGGCUUGUCUGACACCACUCUUGAACCGGUGCAGUCUUCAUCGGACUCCAGGUAGACAAUCUCAGAUGCAUGAAUGCGGGCAGUAAGAUCUUCAUUUCGCUGGUGGUCCUUAGCUGAUGGAGUGAAGACAGAGUACCUUUGGCCCCAUUCAGUCACUGGGUACACCAGUGAAGUGUCAACUGAAUUCUACUUCAGAUUUUAGACGAUGGUUAUGAAUUUGUUGGACUGAAUCAUGACUGUUUUUGAAUUUU